Molecule: transfer RNA, 85 nt
Filed under: Felis catus (domestic cat)
Lineage: Eukaryota; Metazoa; Chordata; Mammalia; Carnivora; Felidae
Rfam family: tRNA
About the family: Transfer RNA (tRNA) molecules are approximately 80 nucleotides in length. Their secondary structure includes four short double-helical elements and three loops (D, anti-codon, and T loops).
Source: Rfam by way of RNAcentral
ACCUGGAUGGCUCAGUCGGUUAAGCAUCUGACUUGGGUUCAGGUCAUGAUCUCAUGGCUUGUGGGUUUGAGCCCCACGCCGGGCU